RNAcentral lists this long non-coding RNA (1968 nucleotides) under Sorghum bicolor (sorghum). RNAcentral describes it as "long non-coding RNA (SBIC_LNC012471)". The record is from RNAcentral. Lineage: Eukaryota; Viridiplantae; Streptophyta; Magnoliopsida; Poales; Poaceae.
UGUCUCUAUGUCAGUGUCUGGAUCCUCCUGAGCUGGCUCUCUGACAUUGAUCCUGACACGCUACCCUCCUAGCAUAAUAGUGCCUAGAGGUGAUCCAUGUCGAGCCUCGGCCUCAAGAACUGCACGCCUCUGACAUGGCGUGAGAUCGGCCCCAAUCCUCAAAGCACCUGACCGUCCUCCCCUCUCAGCUGCCUCUGCUGCUGCUGCAACUGCCUCUGCCACCUCUGCCUCUCUGUCGCUGGCCUUGCGCUUCUUGGUGGCCAACUUCUUGCCCUUGCCCUUCUCUGCCGCUGACAGGCGACGGGGAGGAUCACCUCCACCAUCACCUCCUGGGGAACCUCCAGCGCUGGCUGCUGAACCACUGACGUUCUUGCAACGUGCCAUCACAAGAACGACUGCCUGAAUGAACUGCCGAUAAGGAGCCAACUGACAAUGGAGAUCAAUAGUUGCUCUGCCAUGACUAGUUCUCAAAAUUGAAAUCUCUCUCAAGUUUAGGCAUGACUGUUAUUAAUUAAGAUUUGCUCUAAACCUAAACUUGUGGGAAGAGUACUUGAUCUGAAGUCUAAGUCGUUAACGGAUAUGAUAUGGGAAGGUUGAGCUGUUGUUUAUCUGUUCCUAGAGAUGCUAGAAUUCUGAAGAAUUUUAUCUUUGAAAAUCUUUAAAAUGUUGCAAGAUGAGUUCCUGUAUGAUGAGAGUUUAAAUUCCUACCACAGCCAUAUAUACAUGCUUGUUAGACUAUGAACCACACAUUUACUUUUUACUGCUUAUGAGCAUUGAGUGUGGUCAAGCUGUGUAGACCCUUAGGAGCUUGUCAUGUGGUUAAAAUCAAGAUUCACUUGCACGUUCACUCACACAUGCUACUUCUACUCUGGAAGUACCAUCCACAUAUAUCCACCCAUUUCCAUCUCCAGAACCACCCAAAAAUAUUCUACUCCUAAUCCGGGAGAGAAUAACCAAAAAUAUUUCUGCUUUUCCCCUGUGAAAUAAAUGCUCAAGUUGUCUUGUUACUACCACUUGCUAUAUUAUCUCAUGAGAUGAGUGCUCUAAAAAAAAGAAAAAAAAGAAGAAAAGAAAAAAAAGUAUACGAGGAAAUAAAAAGGGGCAAGUGCCCGAAACCUCGAAAGAAAGAAAAAGUGAGACGAGAGGUAAAAAUGGACAAGUGUCUGACAGUAGAAUUAGGGGUACAAGAUACCCACCUGAGAGAAAAGAAAAAUAAAAUAUAGAGCAUCUCAUUCUCCUCAAAAAGUUUCAAAAGAGCAAGAAAGGUAUGUAUCCCCUCAAAAGAGCAUAAGUAGAAUUAGACUUUCACCAUUGUGGGGCAAGUGCCCGGAACCUCGAAGAAAAAGAAAAAAGUGAGACGAGAGGUAAAAAUGGACAAGUGUCCGACAAUAGAAUUAGGGGUACAAGAUACCCACCUGAGAGGAAAGAAAAAGAAAAUAUAGAGCAUCUCAUUCUCCCCAAAAAGCUUCAAAAUGCAAGAAAGGUAUGUAUCCCCUCAAAAGAGCAAAAGUAGAAUUAGACUUUCACCAUUAUUAUCACCAUCAUCACCAUACACCAUUCAUUCGCCACACAUGCACAUCUUGAUUUGACUUAUUGACUUGUUCCUCUGGAUCCAUGGUUUGACUAUGCAAUAAAUGUCUUGUAAGUAUGUAUUAGCUGUCUCCCACCUAUGAGCUCCACAUAUCAAACCUUAUUAGAGUAGGGUGAGAGAGAAGGUAAUAUCACUAUGCAUUAUACCAAAAAUACCACAUACUUUGAGAGAAGACAUAUACCAUUACUGCCUUGGUAAGGAUCCAGAAAUACCACAAAAGAGAGAUUUGAGGGAGUCAUAUAAGGAAUCUCUGAGUUUUAUUUGAAAAUCUGCAAAAACUCUAGAGCUAUAGCUCAUCAAAGAACAAGAGACAUGGCGCUUGACUUGACCGUUCUAUCUUUUAACUGCUCAAGACACAAGUGACGGUUACAAGCCCC